Molecule: ribosomal RNA, 389 nt
Filed under: Syndiniales sp.
Lineage: Eukaryota; Dinophyceae; Syndiniales
Description: partial small subunit ribosomal RNA
Rfam family: Eukaryotic small subunit ribosomal RNA
Source: RNAcentral
AUUCCAGCUCCAAUAGCGUAUAUUAAAGUUGUUGCGGUUAAAAAGCUCGUAGUUGGAGUUCUGCCAGGUGACGCUCGUCCGCCCAAGUGGUGUGUACAGGGCGUGCAUCUGGCCCUUUCAAGGGGAACGUGUCUGCUCUUUAUUGAGUGGUGCGAGAUCCUUGACUUUUACUUUGAGGAAAUCAGAGUGUUCCAAGCAGGCUCUCGUCGUGUAUAGCUCAGCAUGGAAUAAUAGCAUUGGACUUCGUUUCUAAGCUGUUGGUUGCAAGAAGCGAGGUAAUGAUUAAUAGGAGCAGUUGGGGAUGUCCGUAUUCGAUUGUCAGAGGUGAAAUUCUUGGAUUUAUUGAAGACGAACUACCGCGAAAGCAUUCAUCAAGGAUGUUUUCAUCA